RNAcentral lists this ribosomal RNA (468 nucleotides) under uncultured bacterium. RNAcentral describes it as "partial 16S ribosomal RNA". It matches the Rfam family "Bacterial small subunit ribosomal RNA", at positions 28 to 507 of the family's 1533-position model. The record is from RNAcentral.
GACGAACGCUGGCGGCGUGCUUAACACAUGCAAGUCGAACGGAAAGGCCCUGCUUUUGUGGGGUGCUCGAGUGGCGAACGGGUGAGUAACACAUGAGUAACCUGCCCUUGACUUUGGGAUAACUUCAGGAAACUGGGGCUAAUACCGGAUAGGAGCUCCUGCUGCAUGGUGGGGGUUGGAAAGUUUCGGCGGUUGGGGAUGGACUCGCGGCUUAUCAGCUUGUUGGUGGGGUAGUGGCUUACCAAGGGUUUGACGGGUAGCCGGCCUGAGAGGGUGACCGGCCACAUUGGGACUGAGAUACGGCCCAGACUCCUACGGGAGGCAGCAGUGGGGAAUAUUGCACAAUGGGCGGAAGCCUGAUGCAGCAACGCCGCGUGCGGGAUGACGGCCUUCGGGUUGUAAACCGCUUUCGCCUGUGACGAAGCGUGAGUGACGGUAAUGGGUAAAGAAGCACCGGCUAACUACGUG